UACGUAGGGUGCAAGCGUUUGUCCGGAAUUAUUGGGCGUAAAGAGCUCGUAGGCGGUCUGUCGCGUCGGCUGUGAAAUCCCGGAGCUCAACUCCGGGUCUGCAGUCGAUACGGGCAAACUGGAGUACUGCAGGGGAGACUGGAAUUCCUGGUGUAGCGGUGAAAUGCGCAGAUAUCAGGAGGAACACCGGUGGCGAAGGCGGGUCUCUGGGCAUUAACUGACGCUGAGGAGCGAAAGCAUGGGGAGCGAACAGG
RNAcentral lists this ribosomal RNA (254 nucleotides) under uncultured bacterium. RNAcentral's name for it is "partial 16S ribosomal RNA". It matches the Rfam family "Bacterial small subunit ribosomal RNA", at positions 524 to 776 of the family's 1533-position model. The record is from RNAcentral.